Camarhynchus parvulus is the source of this 2001-nucleotide RNA transcript. It is a transcript of the gene named cyclin B2, with no coding region annotated. The transcript has 10 exons. The record is from RefSeq and is a predicted model, not a curated record. Lineage: Eukaryota; Metazoa; Chordata; Aves; Passeriformes; Thraupidae.
CAGGGUUUAAAGGGAGCCGCGGCAGCGUGAGGCAGCGGCCGCCGGUUUGGCUGGAGUGCGGAGCGGUUCUGUGCUGAGCGGUGGCAGCGGCCCCCUCGUGUCCGUGCCCAUGGCGCUGCCGGUGACUCGCCGUGCCCCUAUCACUAGAGGGAUGGAGAAUGCUGUGUCUGACCUUAGAAGUAAAGCAAAAACUCACGUGACUGGCAAAAGGGCUGCUUUGGAAGAAAUAGGAAAUAAAGUUGCAACAAGAGGAACACACAUAUCUAAGAAAACAGAAUGCCCCAAAGCAUCUACAAAGCCUGUGAAAGGACCAAGCAAGGUGACAAAUGGAAUUGUACUGCCUAAAGCUCCAGCUGCUGUAAAUCAAGCAAACAAAGAAACUGAUGUUCCAAAGGUUCUGUCUCCUGUCCCUAUGGAUGUAUCCAUGCAGGAGGAGGAUUUGUGCCAGGCCUUCUCUGAUGUGCUGCUCAACAACGUCGAAGACAUCGAUGCAGAGGACUGGGAGAACCCCCAGCUGUGUAGUGACUACGUGAAAGACAUCUACCUGUACCUGAGGGAGCUCGAGCUGCAGCAGUCUGUCCGUCCGCACUACCUGGACGGGAGGACGAUCAACGGGCGCAUGCGCGCCAUCCUGGUGGACUGGCUCGUGCAGGUGCACUCGAGGUUCCGCCUCCUGCAGGAGACCCUCUACAUGUGUGUGGCCAUCAUGGAUCGCUUCCUGCAGAAUCAUCCAGUACCUCGCAAGAAGCUUCAGCUGGUGGGCGUAACAGCGCUGCUUGUAGCUUCAAAAUAUGAAGAGAUCUUGUCUCCUGAUGUAGCAGACUUUGUUUACAUUACUGACAAUGCCUACACCAGUAAUGAAAUUAGAGAAAUGGAAAUGAUUAUUCUUAAAGAAUUAAACUUCGACCUGGGGCGACCUCUUCCAAUUCAUUUCUUAAGGAGAGCAUCAAAAGCUGGGGAGGCCGAUGCCAAGCAACACACUCUGGCAAAAUAUCUGAUGGAGCUGACCCUGAUAGACUAUGACAUGGUGCACCACCGGCCCUCAGAGAUUGCAGCUGCUGCUCUGUGCCUGUCUCAGAGGAUUCUGGGACAUACCAAAUGGGGUACAAAGCAGCAGUACUACACGGGUUAUGCAGAAGACGGCCUUGUGAUGACCAUGAAACAUAUGGCCAAGAAUGUAGUCAAAGUGAAUGAGAAGUUAACAAAAUACACUGCUAUCAAGAACAAGUAUGCAAGCAGCAAACUACUGACCAUCAGCACCAUCCCUCAGCUGAACAGUGAGAUCAUCAAGGAUCUGGCUGCAUCACUGCUGUGAAGCCCUGGGCAGCCAAGGCCUGAUGGGGUGUGCACUUUGUCUCCUGCUUUUGUACAUAGCAUUCCAGCUCCCACAGACAGAUCCGACUCACACUGAAGCAUCUCUUCAUGAGUGUGCCUGGCUCUGAUGUAGAAGGCAAGAACCCAGCACUACAGAACUGCCCUAGACCUCUCACUGCUCCCCUGUGGGAAGGAUGUUGAAGCUACUGGGUUUUCUUUCCUCAAGCAGGAAAUUUUUCUCUCCACUGGGAUAAGUAAGCCUAGCACUUGCUGCAAACUGUCUUCUGAAACAUGCUGCCUCAUUCCCUGUGUGGAUGUUAUUCCUCCCUUGGAGUAAGGUCCUCAUUUCUGGCUUCCAGAUACAGCUGCUGUAGAAGAUGGAGUUUGUGUACCUAAGUUAGAUUUAGGCAAUGGUUUGGGAGGGAAGGAUUCAAGAUUUUUAGCUGUAUCUUAAAGCUUAUGCAACUUUUAAUACCAGCAUCUGCAGGGCUUUUUAACUGCUCUUAAAUGAGAGAAUGAAAUGCAUGGCACUGCAGCUGGGCAUAGGAAAAGUAAUUUGGUUUGGAGUGAAGAAAGGGAUUCUUUCUUUAGAAGUCAGUGCAGUAAAAUCCUGAAGCCAUUGUAGUCAAGGGAUCUGUUUGUGUAUGUGAGAACAAACUUCACAGAGAACAAACCUGUUGAUCAUCC